GUUUGGAUUUAUGGCAGCCCCUUUCCCCUGCACCUCUUACAGUGUCCCAUGCCAGAGCCAACUGUGACUCCCAACCAUUGCCUGGCUUCUGCCUGAAGGCUGAUGGCACCAAAGUGGGUUGCACAGAG
Molecule: small nucleolar RNA, 128 nt
Filed under: Castor canadensis (American beaver)
Lineage: Eukaryota; Metazoa; Chordata; Mammalia; Rodentia; Castoridae
Description: Small nucleolar RNA SNORA42/SNORA80 family (ENSCCNG00000003679.1)
Rfam family: Small nucleolar RNA SNORA42/SNORA80 family
About the family: The members of this family belong to the H/ACA class of snoRNAs that guide the sites of modification of uridines to pseudouridines. Human ACA42 (SNORA42) was cloned from HeLa cells by immunoprecipitation with anti-GAR1 antibody. Its is predicted to guide the pseudouridylation of residues U109 and U572 of 18S rRNA.
Source: Rfam by way of RNAcentral